CCUACGGGGUGCUGCAGUGGGGGAUAUUGCACAAUGGGGGGAACCCUGAUGCAGCGACGCCGCGUGUGGGAAGACGGUCCUCUGGAUUGUAAACCACUGUCCCCAGGGACGAAAAUGACGGUACCUGGGGAGGAAGCUCCGGCUAACUACGUGCCAGCAGCCGCGGUAAUACGUAGGGAGCGAGCGUUGUCCGGAAUUACUGGGUGUAAAGGGAGCGUAGGUGGGGAUGCAAGUUGGGUGUCAAAACUACCGGCUCAACUGGUAGUCGCACUCAAAACUGCAGCUCUUGAGUGAAGUAGAGGCAGGCGGAAUUCCUAGUGUAGCGGUAAAAUGCGUAGAUAUUAGGAGGAACACCAGUGGCGAAGGCGGCCUGCUGGGCUUUUACUGACGCUGAGGCUCGAAAGUGUGGGGAGCAAACAGGAUUAGAUACCCUGGUAGUC
Molecule: ribosomal RNA, 440 nt
Filed under: uncultured bacterium
Lineage: Bacteria
Description: partial 16S ribosomal RNA
Rfam family: Bacterial small subunit ribosomal RNA
Source: RNAcentral